GGAGGGCUGGCCGAGUGGCCCAAGGCGGCGGAUUGCUAAUCCGUAACAGGGGUAACAACCUCUGUCGGGAGUUCGAAUCUCUCGCCCUCCGC
Molecule: transfer RNA, 92 nt
Filed under: Actinoplanes campanulatus
Lineage: Bacteria; Bacillati; Actinomycetota; Actinomycetes; Micromonosporales; Micromonosporaceae
Description: tRNA-Ser
Rfam family: tRNA
About the family: Transfer RNA (tRNA) molecules are approximately 80 nucleotides in length. Their secondary structure includes four short double-helical elements and three loops (D, anti-codon, and T loops). Further hydrogen bonds mediate the characteristic L-shaped molecular structure. tRNAs have two regions of fundamental functional importance: the anti-codon, which is responsible for specific mRNA codon recognition, and the 3' end, to which the tRNAs corresponding amino acid is attached (by aminoacyl-tRNA synthetases). tRNAs cope with the degeneracy of the genetic code in two manners: having more than one tRNA (with a specific anti-codon) for a particular amino acid; and 'wobble' base-pairing, i.e. permitting non-standard base-pairing at the 3rd anti-codon position.
Source: RNAcentral